RNAcentral lists this ribosomal RNA (253 nucleotides) under uncultured bacterium. RNAcentral's name for it is "partial 16S ribosomal RNA". It matches the Rfam family "Bacterial small subunit ribosomal RNA", at positions 524 to 776 of the family's 1533-position model. The record is from RNAcentral.
UACAGAGGGGGCAAGCGUUGUUCGGAAUUACUGGGCGUAAAGGGCGCGUAGGCGGCCUGCUAAGUCGAACGUGAAAUCCCCGGGCUCAACCCGGGAACUGCGUCCGAUACUGGCAGGCUUGAAUCCGGGAGAGGGAUGUGGAAUUCCAGGUGUAGCGGUGAAAUGCGUAGAUAUCAGGAGGAACACCUGUGGCGAAAGCGGCUCACUGGACCAUUACUGACACUGAGGAGCGAAAGCCAGGGGAGCAAACGGG